This 451-nucleotide ribosomal RNA is filed under the name uncultured bacterium. RNAcentral describes it as "partial 16S ribosomal RNA". It matches the Rfam family "Bacterial small subunit ribosomal RNA", at positions 28 to 507 of the family's 1533-position model. The record is from RNAcentral.
GAUGAACGCUGGCGGCGUGCCUAACACAUGCAAGUCGAGCGGCAGCGCGGGGUGCUUGCACCCUGUCGGCGAGCGGCGGACGGCUGAGUAACGCAUGGGAACGUGCCCCAAAGUGAGGAAUAACUGCCCGAAAGGGUAGCUAAUACCGCAUAUUAUCUUCGGAUCAAAGGAUUUAUCCGCUUUGGGAGCGGCUCGCGUCGGAUUAGGUAGUUGGUGAGGUAAUGGCUCACCAAGCCGACGAUCCGUAGCUGGUCUGAGAGGAUGACCAGCCAGACUGGAACUGAGACACGGUCCAGACUCCUACGGGAGGCAGCAGUGAGGAAUCUUCCACAAUGGGCGAAAGCCUGAUGGAGCAACGCCGCGUGCAGGACGAAGGCCUUCGGGUUGUAAACUGCUUUUAUAAGUGAGGAAUAUGACGGUAACUUAUGAAUAAGGAUCGGCUAACUACGUG